GACGAACGCUGGCGGCGUGCCUAAUACAUGCAAGUAGAACGCUGAAGGAGGAGCUUGCUUCUCUGGAUGAGUUGCGAACGGGUGAGUAACGCGUAGGUAACCUGCCUGGUAGCGGGGGAUAACUAUUGGAAACGAUAGCUAAUACCGCAUAAUAGCAGUUAUUGCAUGAUAACUGUUUGAAAGGUGCAAUUGCAUCACUACCAGAUGGACCUGCGUUGUAUUAGCUAGUUGGUGGGGUAACGGCUCACCAAGGCGACGAUACAUAGCCGACCUGAGAGGGUGAUCGGCCACACUGGGACUGAGACACGGCCCAGACUCCUACGGGAGGCAGCAGUAGGGAAUCUUCGGCAAUGGACGGAAAGUCUGACCGAGCAAACGCCCGCGUGAGUGAAAGAAAGGUUUUUCGGGAUUCGUAAAAGCUCUGUUGUAAAGAGAAAG
RNAcentral lists this ribosomal RNA (438 nucleotides) under Streptococcus mitis. RNAcentral's name for it is "bacterial SSU rRNA". It matches the Rfam family "Bacterial small subunit ribosomal RNA", at positions 28 to 449 of the family's 1533-position model. The record is from RNAcentral. Lineage: Bacteria; Bacillati; Bacillota; Bacilli; Lactobacillales; Streptococcaceae.